AAGGCUGACCUCAAAUCCGG
RNAcentral lists this ribosomal RNA (20 nucleotides) under Pisolithus albus. RNAcentral's name for it is "partial 28S ribosomal RNA". Lineage: Eukaryota; Fungi; Basidiomycota; Agaricomycetes; Boletales; Pisolithaceae. The record is from RNAcentral.